UUAAUUGAAGAGUUUGAUCAUGGCUCAGAUUGAACGCUGGCGGCAGGCCUAACACAUGCAAGUCGAGCGGUAACAGAAAGUAGCUUGCUACUUUGCUGACGAGCGGCGGACGGGUG
RNAcentral lists this ribosomal RNA (116 nucleotides) under Pseudoalteromonas sp. SR41-6. Its description in RNAcentral is "partial 16S ribosomal RNA". It matches the Rfam family "Bacterial small subunit ribosomal RNA", at positions 1 to 108 of the family's 1533-position model. The record is from RNAcentral. Lineage: Bacteria; Pseudomonadati; Pseudomonadota; Gammaproteobacteria; Alteromonadales; Pseudoalteromonadaceae. RNAcentral also lists the same sequence under 1 other name.